This 247-nucleotide long non-coding RNA is filed under the name Elaeis guineensis (African oil palm). RNAcentral describes it as "long non-coding RNA (EGUI_LNC036947)". The record is from RNAcentral. Lineage: Eukaryota; Viridiplantae; Streptophyta; Magnoliopsida; Arecales; Arecaceae.
UCUUACACCCUUAGUUCUCUUAGGACAAGCCUAUCUAGCCUAUUUUAAGUCCUAAUUGGUUUAGGAUAAGGCUCUAGAGAGUCUUAAGAGAUCUAGCCAAGUUACCAAGAAGCCAAGAAGUAGUUCAAUCAGGUUCAGGAAAUGAUUCGAUCAAAUCAAUCAAAUCGGGGUCAACUCGGAUCCGGUGAUCAGGUUCAGAAGAAGCGACUCUUUGAACCAAUUCUUAUGUGGAUCACCGUUGGAGGGU